Molecule: non-coding RNA, 93 nt
Filed under: Acidobacteriota bacterium
Lineage: Bacteria; Pseudomonadati; Acidobacteriota
Description: Acidobacteria bacterium TPP sequence
Rfam family: TPP riboswitch aptamer (THI element)
About the family: Vitamin B(1) in its active form thiamin pyrophosphate (TPP) is an essential coenzyme that is synthesised by coupling of pyrimidine and thiazole moieties in bacteria. The previously detected thiamin-regulatory element, thi box was extended, resulting in a new, highly conserved RNA secondary structure, the THI element, which is widely distributed in eubacteria and also occurs in some archaea.
Source: RNAcentral
GCGGAAGCCUAGGGGUGGCCUGAACGGCCUGAGAUCAGACCCUCGGAACCUGAUCCGGUUCGAACCGGCGUAGGGAAGGCAGGAAUCUCAACC